UAAGGGUUAGGGUUAGGGUUCAAUUUUCUGUUAAAUGGGUUCAAUUUCAUGAAUUUGCUGUUGUUUAGUGUCAAAUUAUGGUUCAGUUUGAAGAAUUUGGUGUUAAAUUGGUUCAAUUAAAUCAAUUUGCUGAUGUUUAGUGGUAAAAUAUGGUUCAAUUUUAUUAAUUUGCUGCUAAAUGGGUUCAAUUUGAUCAAAUUGCUGCUGCUUAGUGUUAAAUUAUGGUUUAAUUUGAUUAAUUUGCUGCUAGUUAUGGAUUUGUUUUAUGAAAUAUGAUUGAAUGUGUUCCCGGCCAUCGUGCCGGGUCGUUGAGAAGGGUCCGGCCAUCGUGCCGAGGGGGUAUAUGUGGGUGGGUUUUUUUUAUGCAGGUAUAAAAUUAGGGUAGACUCAUUUGUUGUUUUACAGCAAUGGUCAUGCCGAAAUUUUCUUGUUUUACAGCAUAGGUCAUGCCAAAUUUUUCCGUUUUUUUUAAAUUACUUUUAUAUGUGUUGGUUAGGAAUCUCAGGCUCGCGUUGAAGAGGUGCCUGAGCAGCCACCGGUUGUGGAGGGAGAAGUCGAAGAAGAAGCGGGGGCAUCUUCCUCGAGCUCGGAAAUUGCCAUGAGCGAUGGCUUCGAGCAUGGCGAAGAAGGAGCCAAGGAGC
RNAcentral lists this long non-coding RNA (641 nucleotides) under Brachypodium distachyon (stiff brome). RNAcentral describes it as "long non-coding RNA (BDIS_LNC005058)". Lineage: Eukaryota; Viridiplantae; Streptophyta; Magnoliopsida; Poales; Poaceae. The record is from RNAcentral.